This is a non-coding RNA of Chaetomium sp. MPI-SDFR-AT-0129, 93 nucleotides long. Lineage: Eukaryota; Fungi; Ascomycota; Sordariomycetes; Sordariales; Chaetomiaceae. The record is from the annotation of a GenBank genome assembly.
GCGGGUUUAGCUCAGUUGGGAGAGCGUCAGACUGAAGCCAAAACUUCGGUACCAUCAAUCUGAAGGUCAUGUGUUCGAUCCACAUAAACCGCA